CCUGCUCGGCCCCAAACCGCUCUGGACAGUGGACGCCCCGCACGCCGCCGGCAAGGCAACCAACUUCUUUUUCCCCUCGCCGCCCGGAACCUUCCGCUCCCCUCCCGCCACGCGGCCCGCCGCCAUGGACACGACCAUCGGCUCGGUCCCCGCGGCCGCGGACGCCACCCCGCCCGCCCCGUCGGCGUCGGCCCCGAGGGAGGCGACGCUGGGCCGGCACCUCGCGCGGCGGCUCGCCGAGGUGGGCGCCCGCGACGUGUUCGCCGUGCCGGGGGACUUCAACCUCACGCUCCUCGACGAGCUGGAGGCCGAGUCGGGCUCCACGGGGGUGCGCCUCGUGGGCUGCUGCAACGAGCUCAACGCGGCGUACGCCGCCGACGGGUACGCCCGGGCGCGCGGCGGCGGCGUCGGCGCCUGCGCCGUCACGUUCACCGUCGGCGGGCUCAGCGCCAUCAACGCCGUCGCGGGGGCCUUCAGCGAGAACCUCCCCGUCGUGUGCAUCGUCGGGGGCCCCAACAGCAACGACUACGGGAGCAACAGGAUCCUGCACCACACCAUCGGCCUGCCGGAUUUCACGCAGGAGCUCAGGUGCUUCCAGAACGUCACGUGCUACCAGGCUGUGGUGAACAACUUGGAAGAUGCACAUGAACAGAUUGACACUGCCAUCUCUACAGCAAUAAAGGAGAGCCGAGAGCAAGCCUGUUUACAUUAGCAUCAGUUGCAACCUCCCUUCAAUCCCGCAUCCCACCUUCAGCCGUCAUCCUGUCCCUUUCUUCCUCUCCCCAAGGCUAUCGAACCAGAUGAACCUGGAGGCAGCAGUGGAAGCCGCAGCAGCAUUCUUGAACAAAGCUGUGAAGCCAGUGCUUGUUGGUGGACCAAAGAUGAGGGUAUCCAAAGCAUGCAAAGCCUUUGUAGAGCUGGCAGAUGCCUGCGGCUAUCCCGUUGCGGUGAUGCCUUCUGCAAAGGGGCUUGUGCCAGAGCACCACUCGAGGUUUAUCGGCACAUACUGGGGCGCUGUGAGCACUCCAUUCUGUGCUGAGAUCGUUGAGUCUGCCGAUGCCUAUCUAUUUGCUGGUCCCAUAUUCAACGACUACAGCUCGGUUGGAUACUCGCUGCUCCUGAAGAAGGAAAAGGCCAUCAUUGUCCAACCAGAACGGGUGGUUAUUGGACAUGGCCCUGCAUUUGGGUGUGUUCUGAUGAAGGAUUUCCUGCAUGCACUUGCAACCCGUCUGAAGAAGAAUACUGCUGCAUAUGAGAACUAUUGUAGAAUUUAUGUGCCUCCAGGCGAGCCUCAUCCAUCUGAACCUGGAGAGCCAUUGAGAGUGAACAUACUCUUCAAGCAUAUUCAGGCAAUGCUGUCUAGCAACUCGGCUAUCAUUGCAGAGACUGGGGAUUCGUGGUUUAACUGCCAGAAGCUGAAGCUACCAGAAGGCUGUGGGUACGAAUUUCAGAUGCAGUAUGGAUCGAUUGGCUGGUCAGUGGGUGCAACUCUAGGAUAUGCACAGGCUGCUAAGGAUAAGCGUGUCAUUGCAUGCAUUGGAGAUGGCAGCUUUCAGGUGACGGCACAAGAAGUGUCAACGAUGCUCCGAUGGGGGCAUAACAGCAUCAUCUUUCUGAUAAACAAUGGAGGAUACACAAUUGAGGUGGAGAUCCAUGAUGGUCCUUACAACAUUAUCAAGAAUUGGAACUACACUGGUUUGGUGGAAGCAUUCCACAAUGGCGAGGGCAAGUGCUACACAGCAAAGGUUCGAACUGAGGAGGAGCUGAAGGAGGCAUUGAAGGAAGCUCUGGGACCUAAGAAGGACUGCUUAUGCUUUAUAGAGGUCAUCGUGCACAAGGAUGACACCAGCAAAGAGCUUCUCGAGUGGGGAUCCAGGGUUUCUGCGGCAAAUAGCCGUCCACCAAAUCCUCAGUGAGUACAUCAGGCAUCCGAAAUUGCGCUGGAAACCGAUCCUCAUAUGUCCAUAUUUAGAAGUCUUGGGGAGAAGACGCUGUCGAUCUCUGAAUAAACUCUCCCUGUAACUGUAAUUCACUGAUGUUGCAAGUCUCGUGGUUACUUCACAUAUUUCAGAAAUUGAUAUUGUAUAGUUCAUUGCUGCCAAUAAAUCUGAAAUCAAUUUUUGUUGUUCUUAGCUAA
Panicum virgatum (switchgrass) is the source of this 2137-nucleotide RNA transcript. It is a transcript of the gene named pyruvate decarboxylase 1-like, with no coding region annotated. The transcript is spliced from 6 exons. The record is from RefSeq and is a predicted model, not a curated record. NCBI's taxonomy places the organism in Eukaryota, Viridiplantae, Streptophyta, Magnoliopsida, Poales, Poaceae.